This 69-nucleotide transfer RNA is filed under the name Saurida undosquamis (brushtooth lizardfish). RNAcentral's name for it is "tRNA-Arg". It matches the Rfam family "tRNA". Rfam says of the family: Transfer RNA (tRNA) molecules are approximately 80 nucleotides in length. Their secondary structure includes four short double-helical elements and three loops (D, anti-codon, and T loops). Lineage: Eukaryota; Metazoa; Chordata; Actinopteri; Aulopiformes; Synodontidae. The record is from RNAcentral. RNAcentral also lists the same sequence under 1 other name.
AGGAAGUUAGUCCAAACAAGACAUUUGAUUUCGGCUCAAAAAACUGUGGUUAAAAUCCACAACUCCCUU